AACGAACGUUAGCGGCGCGCCUAAUACAUGCAAGUCGUGCGAGAAAGGGCUUCGGCCCCGGUAAAGCGGCGCACGGGUGAGUAACACGUAGGUCAUCUCCCCUCGAGUGGUGGAUAACCCUCCGAAAGGAGGACUAAUACAGCAUAAGACCACGGUCUCGUUGAGACUGCGGUCAAAGCAGGCCACUACAUGUAAGCUUGCGCUUGAGGAUGAGCCUGCGGCCCAUCAGCUAGUUGGUAAGGUAACGGCUUACCAAGGCAUAGACGGGUAGCUGGUCUGAGAGGAUGAGCAGCCACACUGGAACUGAAACACGGUCCAGACUCCUACGGGAGGCAGCAGUAGGGAAUCUUGCGCAAUGGACGAAAGUCUGACGCAGCGACGCCGCGUGAGCGAUGAAGGCCUUCGGGUCGUAAAGCUCUGUGGGGAGAGACGAAUAAGGUAUGGCUAACAUCCAUGCCGAUGACGGUAUCUCCUUAGCAAGCACCGGCUAACUCUGUGC
This 499-nucleotide ribosomal RNA is filed under the name uncultured bacterium. RNAcentral's name for it is "bacterial SSU rRNA". It matches the Rfam family "Bacterial small subunit ribosomal RNA", at positions 29 to 508 of the family's 1533-position model. The record is from RNAcentral.